This 487-nucleotide ribosomal RNA is filed under the name uncultured bacterium. RNAcentral describes it as "partial 16S ribosomal RNA". It matches the Rfam family "Bacterial small subunit ribosomal RNA", at positions 28 to 507 of the family's 1533-position model. The record is from RNAcentral.
GAUGAACGCUAGCGAUAGGCUUAACACAUGCAAGUCGAGGGGCAGCACAAGGUAGCUUGCUAUCUGGGUGGCGACCGGCGCACGGGUGCGUAACGCGUAUGCAACCUGCCCUAUACAGGAGGAUAACCCGUCGAAAGACGGACUAAUACUGCGUAUGCUCACAACUUGGCAUCAAGUGGUGAGGAAAGAAAUUCGGUAUAGGAUAGGCAUGCGUCCCAUUAGCUUGUUGGUGAGGUAACGGCUCACCAAGGCAACGAUGGGUAGGGGAACUGAGAGGUUUAUCCCCCACACUGGUACUGAGACACGGACCAGACUCCUACGGGAGGCAGCAGUGAGGAAUAUUGGUCAAUGGGCGCGAGCCUGAACCAGCCAAGUCGCGUGAAGGAGGACUGUCUUAUGGAUUGUAAACUUCUUUUAUACGGGAAUAACAAGAGUCACGUGUGACUCCCUGCAUGUACCGGAUGAAUAAGCAUCGGCUAACUCCGUG